This 492-nucleotide ribosomal RNA is filed under the name uncultured bacterium. RNAcentral's name for it is "partial 16S ribosomal RNA". It matches the Rfam family "Bacterial small subunit ribosomal RNA", at positions 29 to 507 of the family's 1533-position model. The record is from RNAcentral.
AGUGAACGCUGGCGGUAGGCCUAACACAUGCAAGUCGAACGGCAGCACAGUAAGUGCUUGCUCUUACGGGUGGCGAGUGGCGUACGUGUGAGGAAUACAUCGGAAUCUACUUUUUCGUGGGGGAUAACGUAGGGAAACUUACUCUAAUACCGCAUACGUCCUACGGUUGUAAGCAGUGGAUCUUCUGACCUUUCUCUAUUGAUUUAGCCGAUGUCGGAUUAGCUAGUUGGCGGGGUAAAGGCCCACCAAGGCGACGAUCCGUAGCUGGUCUGAGAGGAUGAUCAGACACACUGGAGCUGAGACACGGUCCAGACUACUACGGGAGGAAGCAGUGGGGAAUAUUGGACAAUGGGCGCAAGCCUGAUCCAGCAAUACCGCGUGGGUGAAGAAGGCCUUCGGGUUGUAAAGCCCUUUUGUGGGGAAAGAAAAGCAGCAGGUUAAUACCACGAUGUUCUGACGGUACCAAAAGAAUAAGCACCGGCUAACUUCGUG